RNAcentral lists this ribosomal RNA (253 nucleotides) under uncultured bacterium. RNAcentral's name for it is "partial 16S ribosomal RNA". It matches the Rfam family "Bacterial small subunit ribosomal RNA", at positions 524 to 776 of the family's 1533-position model. The record is from RNAcentral.
UACAGAGGUCUCAAGCGUUGUUCGGAAUUACUGGGCGUAAGGGGCUCGUAGGUGGCCAACUAAGUCAGACGUGAAAUCCCUCAGCUUAACUGGGGAACUGCGUCUGAUACUGGAUGGCUUGAGUCUGGGAGAGGGAUGCGGAAUUCCAGGUGUAGCGGUGAAAUGCGUAGAUAUCUGGAGGAACACCGGUGGCGAAGGCGGCAUCCUGGACCAACACUGACACUGAUGAGCGAAAGCCAGGGGAGCAAACGGG